GAUGAACGCUGGCGGCGUGCCUAACACAUGCAAGUCGAACGGAAAGGCCAGUGCUUGCACUGGUACUCGAGUGGCGAACGGGUGAGUAACACGUGGGUGAUCUGCCCUGCACUUCGGGAUAAGCCUGGGAAACUGGGUCUAAUACCGGAUAGGACAAUGGUUUGGAUGCCGUUGUGGAAAGUUUUUUCGGUGUGGGAUGAGCUCGCGGCCUAUCAGCUUGUUGGUGGGGUAAUGGCCUACCAAGGCGUCGACGGGUAGCCGGCCUGAGAGGGUGUACGGCCACAUUGGGACUCAGAUACGGCCCAGACUCCUACGGGAGGCAGCAGUGGGGAAUAUUGCACAAUGGGCGCAAGCCUGAUGCAGCGACGCCGCGUGGGGGAUGACGGCCUUCGGGUUGUAAACUCCUUUCGCUAGGGACGAAGCGUAUUUGUGACGGUACCUGGAGAAGAAGCACCGGCUAACUACGUG
RNAcentral lists this ribosomal RNA (468 nucleotides) under uncultured bacterium. Its description in RNAcentral is "partial 16S ribosomal RNA". It matches the Rfam family "Bacterial small subunit ribosomal RNA", at positions 28 to 507 of the family's 1533-position model. The record is from RNAcentral.